UCAGUUGGUAGAGCGGAGGACUGU
RNAcentral lists this non-coding RNA (24 nucleotides) under Bos taurus (domestic cattle). Lineage: Eukaryota; Metazoa; Chordata; Mammalia; Artiodactyla; Bovidae. RNAcentral also lists the same sequence under 1 other name. The record is from RNAcentral.